This 447-nucleotide ribosomal RNA is filed under the name uncultured bacterium. Its description in RNAcentral is "partial 16S ribosomal RNA". It matches the Rfam family "Bacterial small subunit ribosomal RNA", at positions 29 to 523 of the family's 1533-position model. The record is from RNAcentral.
AACGAACGCUGGCGGCAGGCCUAAAACAUGCAAGUCGAACGAACCGCAAGGUUAGUGGCGCACGGGUGAGUAACACGUGGGAAUGUGCCUCUGGGUACGGAACAACGUCGGGAAACUGACGCUAAUACCGUAUAAUGUCUACGGACCAAGGAUUUAUCGCCCAGAGAUCAGCCCGCGUCUGAUUAGCUAGUUGGUGAGGUAACGGCUCACCAAGGCGACGAUCAGUAGCUGGUCUGAGAGGAUGAUCAGCCACACUGGAACUGAGACACGGUCCAGACUCCUACGGGAGGCAGCAGUUAGGAAUAUUGGACAAUGGGGGAAACCCUGAUCCAGCCAUGCCGCGUGUGUGAAGAAGGCCUUAGGGUUGUAAAGCACUUUCGGCUGUGAAGAUAAUGACAGUAGCAGAAGAAGAAGCUCCGGCUAAAUUCGUGCCAGCCGCCGCAGUAA